RNAcentral lists this long non-coding RNA (266 nucleotides) under Nicotiana benthamiana. Its description in RNAcentral is "long non-coding RNA (NBEN_LNC024272)". Lineage: Eukaryota; Viridiplantae; Streptophyta; Magnoliopsida; Solanales; Solanaceae. The record is from RNAcentral.
UAGUUAUGAAAACAUAAGCAACAUAAAUACAGUCGCAUGCAGUAAUAUCAAGCAGGAACUACCAUACUAAAACACUAAUCACCUAUGAGCCCCUAACAUACAAUCUUGAUUCUAGACCUCCAGACUCUCCUAUCAAGAGUCAUGUCCUCGGAAACUUGCAUUCUGGCCAUGUCCUGCCUAAUCACCUCUCUCCAAUGCUUCUUAGGCCUCCCUCUCCCUCGCCGACCACCAACAAUCUCCAACAGCUCGCAGCUCCUCACCGGGGC